This 497-nucleotide ribosomal RNA is filed under the name uncultured bacterium. RNAcentral's name for it is "partial 16S ribosomal RNA". It matches the Rfam family "Bacterial small subunit ribosomal RNA", at positions 28 to 507 of the family's 1533-position model. The record is from RNAcentral.
GAUGAACGCUGGCGGCGUGCCUAAUACAUGCAAGUCGAGCGAACGGACGAGAAGCUUGCUUCUCUGAUGUUAGCGGCGGACGGGUGAGUAACACGUGGAUAACCUACCUAUAAGACUGGGAUAACUUCGGGAAACCGGAGCUAAUACCGGAUAAUAUUUUGAACCGCAUGGUUCAAAAGUGAAAGACGGUCUUGCUGUCACUUAUAGAUGGAUCCGCGCUGCAUUAGCUAGUUGGUAAGGUAACGGCUUACCAAGGCAACGAUGCAUAGCCGACCUGAGAGGGUGAUCGGCCACACUGGAAUUGAGACACGGUCCAGACUCCUACGGGAGGCAGCAGUAGGGAAUCUUCCGCAAUGGGCGAAAGCCUGACGGAGCAACGCCGCGUGAGUGAUGAAGGUCUUCGGAUCGUAAAACUCUGUUAUUAGGGAAGAACAUAUGUGUAAGUAACUGUGCACAUCUUGACGGUACCUAAUCAGAAAGCCACGGCUAACUCCGUG